CUACCAGGGUAUCUAAUCCUGUUUGCUCCCCACGCUUUCGAGCCUCAGCGUCAGUAAUGGACCAGUAUGUCGCCUUCGCCACUGGUGUUCUUCCGAAUAUCUACGAAUUUCACCUCUACACUCGGAGUUCCACAUACCUCUUCCAUACUCAAGAUAGCCAGUAUCAAAGGCAAUUCCAAGGUUGAGCCCUGGGCUUUCACCUCUGACUAAACUAUCCGCCUACGCUCCCUUUACGCCCAGUAAUUCCGAGCAACGCUAGCCCCCUUCGUAUUACCGCGGCUGCUGGCAC
This 289-nucleotide ribosomal RNA is filed under the name uncultured Phenylobacterium sp. RNAcentral describes it as "partial 16S ribosomal RNA". Lineage: Bacteria; Pseudomonadati; Pseudomonadota; Alphaproteobacteria; Caulobacterales; Caulobacteraceae. The record is from RNAcentral.